RNAcentral lists this ribosomal RNA (1489 nucleotides) under uncultured Bordetella sp. RNAcentral's name for it is "partial 16S-23S ribosomal RNA intergenic spacer". It matches the Rfam family "Bacterial small subunit ribosomal RNA". The record is from RNAcentral. Lineage: Bacteria; Pseudomonadati; Pseudomonadota; Betaproteobacteria; Burkholderiales; Alcaligenaceae.
AGUUCGAUCAUGGCUCAGAUUGAACGCUGGCGGGAUGCUUUACACAUGCAAGUCGAACGGCAGCACGGACUUCGGUCUGGUGGCGAGUGGCGAACGGGUGAGUAAUGUAUCGGAACGUGCCUAGUAGCGGGGAUAACUACGCGAAAGCGUAGCUAUUACCGCAUACACCCUUCGGGGGAAAGCGGGGGACCUUCGGGCCUCGCACUAUUAGAGCGGCCGAUAUCGGAUUAGCUAGUUGGUGGGGUAACGGCUCACCAAGGCGACGAUCCGUAGCUGGUUUGAGGACGACCAGCCACACUGGGACUGAGACACGGCCCAGACUCCUACGGGAGGCAGCAGUGGGGAAUUUUGGACAAUGGGGAAACCCUGAUCCAGCCAUCCCGCGUGUGCGAUGAAGGCCUUCGGGUUGUAAAGCACUUUUGGCAGGAAAGAAACGGCACGGGAUAAUACCCCGUGCAACUGACGAAACACCUGCAGAAUAAGCACCGGCUAACUACGUGCCAACAGCCGCGGUAAUACGUAGGGUACAAGCGUUAAUCGGAAUUGCUGGGCGUAAAGCGUGCGCAGGCGGUUCCGGAAAGAAAGAUGUGAAAUCCCAGAGCUUAACACGGAACUGCAUUUUUAACUACCGAGCUAGAGUGUGUCAGAGGGAGGUGGAAUUACGCGUGUAGCAGUGAAAUGCGUAGAUAUGCGGAGGAACACACCGAUGGCGAAGGCAGCCUCCUGGGAUAACACUGACGCUCAUGCACGAAAAGCGUGGGGGCAAACAGGAUUAGAUACCCUGGUAGUCCACGCCCUAAACGAUGUCAACUAGCUGUUGGGGCCUUCGGGCCUUGGUAGCGCAGCUAACGCGUGGUUGACGCCUGGGGAGUACGGUCGCAAGAUUAAAACUCAAAGGAAUUGACGGGGACCCGCACAAGCGGUGGAUGAUCAUCGGUUAAUUCGAUGCAACACGAAAAACCGCCCACCUACCCUUGACAUGUCUGGAAUCCCGAAAGAGAUUUGGGAGUGCUCGCAAGAGAACCGGAACACAGGUGCUGCAUGGCUGUCGUCCAGCUCGUGUCGUGAGAUGUUGGGUUAAGUCCCUGUGAAGGCGCAGCCCUUGUCGUGGAUUUGCUACGAAAGGGCACUCUAAUGAGACUGCCGGUGACAAACCGGGAAGGUGGGGAUGACGUCAAGUCCUCAUGGCCCUUAUGGGUAGGGCUUCACACGUCAUACAAUGGUCAAGUGAAGGAGUCGCCAAGCCCGCGAGGGGAGCCAAUCCCAGAAACCGAUCGUAGUCCGGAUCGCAGUCUGCAACUCGACUGCGUGAAGUCCGAAUCGCUAGUAAUCGCGGAUCAGCAUGUCGCGGUGAAUACGUUCCCGGGUCUUGUACACACCGCCCAUCACCAUGGGAGUGGGUUUUACCAGAAGUAGUUAGCCUAACCGUAAGAGGCGAUUACCACAAUCAGGAUUCACGACCACAAGGUGAAGUCGUAACCUAAGGUAG